CUAAUGGAACACCUUUACAAUAAGUUUGUACCCUUUCACACAACUCCAUGUAUUCCACCGGAGGAUGCUUUUGUUUGAAGGCUUUCAUACUCAACAACUGAAAAGCAUCACUACAAUCCAAUCCCUUAACCUCAUAGAUUUUGUCAACACUGCUAAGAACUUGUUUGUCUCUGCUUGUUAUUAUGACUCUACUUCCUGAACCAAACCAACCAUGAUCUCCAGCCAAAGCCUUUAAUUGCUUUGAAUCGUUGACAUCAUCAAGAACAAUGAAAACCUUCUUUCUUCUAAGUAUAUCCAGAACAAUAGUGGGAAGCACAUGGAGCAUUUGUAUGCUUAAAUGUUUGUCCCCUACAAGUUCGGAAAAAAGUUUUUGUCGUAAAUGCAGUAAUUCAUGCUUUUCUGCAUUUUCCCUAACAUUACUUAGAAAGUAGCAAACAUCAAAUUCAUCAGAAAUUUGACUAAAAAGAACUUCAGUAGUGGUUGUCUUUCCUAUGCCGCCCAUUCCCCAAAUUCCUAUAAAACGAACAUCUGCUGUCUCAAUACAUAAUAAUGGUAGAAUUUUGUUGAUGUGAGCAUCAAUCCCAACUAAACCAUGACAAGCACUAAAGGAGAUGGGACACAGUUUCUUCAUGAUUUGGUUGACAACUUUGUCAAUUAAUUUCGAUUCAAGCCUUGCAAAACAUGAUAAACAAAGCAAAGUAAUAAUGAGUUUAAUUUGAGAUACAAAGAAACUUGAAAACUUCGAAGGCAUUUGAAUUUGAACUUAAUUUCAGUGAUUGAAAAUUAGCCCAAAAAUAUAUCUAUCAUAAAUAAAUAAAUAAAUAAAACUUUAUAUAUUAUCUAUUGAAACAUAAAUCUAGAUUUACACUUAUUUCAGCAAAUAUAUCCAUCUAAAGGACCCACAUUAUAUUUUUAAAUGAGGCAUCUAGAUUUACACUUAUCAUAUGAGAUGUUACAUGUAUGAAUCGAUUUACUAACUACUUCAGGAAAUUUGAUAGGUUCAAGCAAUUUGUUUAAAUUUUAAAAUUUUUUAUGUUCUAGUGAUAAUUAAAAUAGAUAAAAUAAAUGAACUGAAUUAAACAAAACCAGUUGCCUGGUCUAGUUUCCGAUAUAACCAGUCCAACCGGCCGGUUUGCUCCAACUGUGAAAACGCUAACCUGUAGUUGCUGGAAUCCCAUCCAGAUAUAUUGGAUGCUUCCAUCAAAGAAGUGCUGCACUUCUCCACAACGUCUAAGCUCUGCUUAAAUUUUAGGCAAUAUUUCUAUAUAAAGGACACUCGUUGUAUUUAUCCAUAAAUGAGCUAUCUGGCACAUUAUUAACCAAAGGCAUGCUUGUGACGAGAAGUUACCUGUAGAAAUGGCUUUAAAACCAGAUUGAUCAUUGAAUCGAUUUAUUAACUAUUUCAAGGUUUUGAAAGGUUUAAGCAAUUUAGUUAAGUAAAAAAACUGGUUAAAUAUAAUUUAAAUUUUGAAAAUUUUUUAUUUUUCAAGAGGGAAUUAAAAAUAAAUAAAUCGAAUUAGACCAAACCAGUUUCCUGGUCUAAUUCCUGAUUUAACCAGUCCAACCGACCAGUUUGGUCUAAUUCUAGAAACACUAACCUGUAGUUUUUGGAAUCCCAUCCAGAUAGAUUGGCUGCUUCCAUCAAAGCAGUGCUCCACUUCUCCACAAUGUCCAAGCGCUGCUUAAAUUUUUCUUUAACUUUCCCAAAUGCUUCUCCAAAUUUCCCAGUCUGUUUUCUAACAUCGGAAGGAUUUACACGGUAGAAAAUGGGUAAAACCUUUCGCCCUAAUUUUUUCUCGCAGUCAAUUAUCUUCACUAGUUCAUCUAGGCACCACCGAGAGGAUGCAUAAUUUUCUGAGAAAAUUACU
Molecule: unclassified non-coding RNA, 1868 nt
Filed under: Hevea brasiliensis (rubber tree)
Lineage: Eukaryota; Viridiplantae; Streptophyta; Magnoliopsida; Malpighiales; Euphorbiaceae
Source: RNAcentral